Molecule: long non-coding RNA, 1328 nt
Organism: Drosophila simulans
Lineage: Eukaryota; Metazoa; Arthropoda; Insecta; Diptera; Drosophilidae
Exons: 3
Source: RefSeq, a predicted model, not a curated record
AGACCCAACAUCUGUUAAGUGAUUCAUUAGCGUUGAGUAGAAUAAUUCAAAAUCUGAAUUAUUACCAAUUCUCUCACGACCAAGCAGCAGACAAUGUGACGACCAAGUUAUGGUCUCUUUUGAAUUUGUUGUGCAUUUUUAACUAUAAAUAAGAAUGAUUCAAGCCAAUCAAAUUAGUAUUGGACACUUGGCUUUAUGGGUCAACGGUCAGCGGAUGAGAUACGAGGCAUUAUAUAAACACAAGAAAUAUCAAAUAUAUGCCAUUUCCAAGGAGCAUCAGUAAAUCAUAAACAAUAUACCGAAUAAAUAAACAAAAACAUCGGUGUAUAUUAACUAUACUUUAAUAGCAAAAUAAGCCUUUUGUUAUUUAUAGUGUUUUUCCUAACAAGUUUUAUCUAGCAUUCAUUAUUACCAUUGUAUUCUUUGUCAUUCCUUCAAUCUUUUUCUUUUGAUAUGAUAUUUAGAUGUCUAAAUUGUUUUUUUGAUCUAUUUUUGAUUGUUACGUUGGCCAACCAUCACAAAACUAUAAACAAAAAAACAAGCCUAGCCCACCUGAGAAUUUUAUGCAAAAUUACCCAAAUAAAGCUUAUUUGUCAUCAUCAACCAAAUUGGCCAAGUUAUAGAUACAAAGAUAGAUGGCGGCAAUACAGGUAAAUAAAUAGAGCUCAUUGGCCUUUGGAGGUGACAAAUCCAUGAGUGAUCGAUACCCGGGGAAUAUGCGAAUCCCUGUGCUCAGAGAAUGUUUGUUUGUUGAUUCGCGGGCUAUCGAUCGCAUUGAUAAAUGAUCACAUCAGAAGUGAAAAAGUGGAAUGUACGAAUAGAGAAAAGCUAUAUGCUAAACAUUUACAAUGUCGGAAUCUUGUUCUCGCCGCUCUGUCAUUAAGUUUACGACUGCAUUUUGGUUUACUGCAAGUUGGUCACAAAUAAUAGAACAAUAAAUACAAGUCGGCAAGUUACGAAAUUUGGAAGAACCAAUUUAGGUUGAAAAAACUUGCAGAACAAACUGGUUUUAAUAUUUACUACUUUAUUUACCAUUCUAUUUUAUUCAUUUAAGGCACAAAAGGCAAACACAUGACCUUAAUUAGUGGAUUAUAAAAUAUAUAUUGAAGUUUCGGAGCCUGUUGAAUUCGGGAAUCGUCGAAUUGGCUUGUAAUUCCAGUCAACCUGCUUUUUUUUUUGACAAUGCCUCAUUCUUAUCUGAUUAUUGAUAUCAAGCGCUGCCGUUGACUUGAAUUGACAAAUUGACUGCCAUGACCGACGCUCGUUUGUCAUUAUCGGCCAGCAAUUCUCAGCCAAAAGCAGACGAAGGGGUUUUUCUUCGCUUUUUU